UACGGGGGGGGCAAGCGUUGUCCGGAAUUAUUGGGCGUAAAGAGCUCGUAGGCGGUUCGUCGCGUCGGCUGUGAAAUCCCGAGGCUCAACCUCGGGUCUGCAGUCGAUACGGGCGGACUGGAGUUCGGCAGGGGAGACUGGAAUUCCUGGUGUAGCGGUGAAAUGCGCAGAUAUCAGGAGGAACACCGGUGGCGAAGGCGGGUCUCUGGGCCGAUACUGACGCUGAGGAGCGAAAGCGUGGGGAGCGAACAGG
Molecule: ribosomal RNA, 253 nt
Filed under: uncultured bacterium
Lineage: Bacteria
Description: partial 16S ribosomal RNA
Rfam family: Bacterial small subunit ribosomal RNA
Source: RNAcentral